This is a non-coding RNA of Paramuricea clavata, 315 nucleotides long. The record is from the annotation of a GenBank genome assembly. NCBI's taxonomy places the organism in Eukaryota, Metazoa, Cnidaria, Anthozoa, Malacalcyonacea, Plexauridae.
ACACGAAUGAACACGAGUGAACUCGAAUGGAACACGAGUGAACACUAAUGAACACAAGUGAACACAAAUGAACACGAAUGAACACGAGUGAACACGAAUGAACACGAGUGAACACGAAUGAACACGAGUGAACAAGAAUGGAACACGAGUGAACACAACUGAACACCAUGGGCGUACCGGAAGGAAAAAAUUAGGGGGGCGGAAAGAAAAUUGCCCGACUUUUCGGAUUCUGCCCCCCCCCCGGUCAGUGUACCAUUUUUCGGUCAGUGUACCAUUUUAGGGGUCAAAAAAAUUUUCCGGACAACCAAUAUUUUU